This is a long non-coding RNA of Manis javanica (Malayan pangolin), 811 nucleotides long. RefSeq lists it as uncharacterized. NCBI's taxonomy places the organism in Eukaryota, Metazoa, Chordata, Mammalia, Pholidota, Manidae. The record is from RefSeq and is a predicted model, not a curated record.
CUGAGCCGGAGGUUGGCCAUGAACUCGGGCAUGGACACAGUGUCCAUCAGCACGAAGUCCGCCUUGCCGAACUCCAGGCUCUCCUGCUCCGCCAUGGCGCCGGCGGACGGGCUCAGGAAAUCUAGAGCCCCCAAAUACCUGGCUGGGUUCCAGGGCUAUGGCUCAAUUUGAGAUGAGUAAACCAGACAGAAGGACCCUGCUCAGGGCUUGCUGCAGCUGCCAACAAGAGAGUGGGAAAGGCUGCCUGAUCAUCUCCGGAGAGAGCAUCUCUGCCAUCAGAAAGCUGACCAUGGUACAGGCUGGGGUGCAAUCUGACCACCAUUAGCAGCUCUCCUUCUUCAGAAGACACCUCUCUGGAUCUCAGUGUCCUCAUUUGUGGAAUAAGACCUCUGGGCUAGACACUUUCCAAGGAAGUUACAACAUAUGCAGAGAUGGCUGAAGAAAUGAAGCAUCGCCAUGGUGUAUAUUCAGACAAGGUAACAGAGAGCAGGUAACAAAUCAAAGUGGAGGAAGAUGGCAUGGGAGGCUUAAAGGUAAAGUGUGAAAUCAUUGUCUAAGGAGUAAGAGAGUGAGACUUGCCUCUGUAUGUGAGUAUAUAGUAUGUCUCUAUGGACAGAUUGCUCGCCAGGAAUGAGUGGCUGCUUAAGGACUCAAAAGCAAAGCCAGUCUUGCUGUUUGACCUUCUCUAGCUGCACGCAUCUGCUCCAGUGACGGUGUAGAGAAUGCAGAGUUUGGGUUCUGCCAAACCGAGUUAGGAAGGAGAGAGGGACAAGGGAGAAGCUCCAUGACGGACUAUGCAGUCCAGGCCAGC